Non-coding RNA from Potamilus streckersoni, 70 nucleotides. NCBI's taxonomy places the organism in Eukaryota, Metazoa, Mollusca, Bivalvia, Unionida, Unionidae. The record is from the annotation of a GenBank genome assembly.
GACUAUUCUCAGUGGUUAUAGCAUUCGCCUUGGAUGCGGGAGGUCAUGGGUUCGAUCCCUGGUCGAGUCA